Molecule: ribosomal RNA, 324 nt
Filed under: uncultured eukaryote
Lineage: Eukaryota
Description: partial 18S ribosomal RNA
Rfam family: Eukaryotic small subunit ribosomal RNA
Source: RNAcentral
CCCUUAGAUGUUCUGGGCCGCACGCGUGCUACACUGAGUAAUUCAAUGGGUAAGGGAACGCUAGAGCAUUACCUAAUCUUGAAAUUUGCUCGUGAUGGGGAUCGACGGUUGCAAUUUUCCGUCGUGAACGAGGAAUACCUUGUAGGCGCAUGUCAUCAUCAUGCGCCGAAUACGUCCCUGCCCUUUGUACACACCGCCCGUCGCUACUACUGAUUGGACGUUUAAGCAAGAUUUUUAAACACUGACAGUGUGUAGUUCACGCUAUACUACAGUGAGAAGAAGAAGAUCGAGCUUACUUGUCUAGAGGAAGUAAAAGUCGUAACA